AAAAUAAAAAAGGAAAAAGAAACGGUAAUGCUUUACAAUAAGAUUUAAUUUGUUAACAUUAUUUAAUGCACUAGGAAUCAUGAACUAAAACACUUUUACAGCAUUGCUUAGUUCAUUUAUAAAUGUACUGUUGUUCAUUAAUUCAUAUUUAAUGUUUUAUGAUCAAUGUUAAUUCAUACCACCUUAAAUGUCAAAAUGAAAGUGUUGUUCAUUGUUCAUGGUAAUUAAUGCAUUGAAUUAAUGCACGUGACAACUAUAUGGCAGACGUUUGAUUCCAGCUUAUUUCAACUUGUAAAAGGCAAAGAAUUUACUUUUUUUGUGUUUGAGUUCAAAAUUCUUACUGCGAUUAAAGAAACUUAUUUCAAUAAAUAGGCCACUGUCCGAUAGUUUGGACAUUUUUGAUCGAUUUCCCACACCAUCUUUUAAAGAUGCAUUCAUUAGUUUUGUGCUAAUUUAAUAUAUUUUUUUACACAUUGAGAAACUUUUUUUUACACAUUGUGAAACUGUGACUUUCAGUCAAAGGAAAAAAAAUGAGAGACUGAUAACGGUCAGAAGACAGGAAGAUGUCAGCUGAGACAGAGGGCGAAUCGGAAAAGGGCAGAAGCCGAAAGAAGAAACGAGCCUGUAUAAAAACAGGUGGCAACAUCCUGACUGGUGAUACUCAAGGGUCAUCGUUUUGUUGGACAGGGCUCAGUUCAUUUAUGAUCCACAUGCCCACGCCAUCUCCAUUAGCUCUGAACAAAUGUGAAGACUGAUCGGCUGGAACAACAUAACGCAGUCAUGACAACAGCACCAGAGGCAGCCCCAGGCUUUGAUCCAUCUGGGGAUCUCAUGGACCAUAAGAGAUGUAUCAACAGGCUCUAUAACAUGACGAAAGCUUGAUUAAUGCUUUGAUUUCAACUCAGAAAGAAAGAAAAUCAAAUGGGACCCAAAAGACAUAAGGCCGGUGGGGGGUGGAAGCCUACAACACACCUCUGUUGCUUGACCCUGAUUUUUACGAGCCCACCUCAACAAAGAGCAUUAAACAGCAAUCAUGGCUGAAUGCUGAACACCUCAAGAACACAAUUGCACCGGUCUCGCUCAAGGGUGAUUCAAACUGUAGUUUUUUUUUUUUUUUUUUUUUCGGUUGUGGCGUGAGGCAGUAAAGUGGCUGGAUGUGGAACAGGAUGCUGCGAUACUAAAAGCCGUUAAGUGAUGGGAGGUGUAAUAGUCUGGGACACACAGGUGCUUAAGCAGCGUUGGCAUAAUUAAACAGGUCAGAGGACAGCCAGGAGAAUGAACGGAGUGACUGUGCUACUUUCUGCUCUGAUAAUAAGUUCCUUAUGCUUCUGUUAUGUCUGUAUGUGUGUGUGUGUGUGUGUGUGUGUGUUUGUGAGAGAAAGAGAAGAUCGUUAUUCUGUAAUGAGCCUGUACAGUGUUUUAUGUUUUAGAAGAAGUGAAAGCCAUUUAAACUAGGUAAGUAUAUCAGUGUUUUUAAUUUAAAUAACUUGAAGACAACAUGUACUGUAGCAGAUUUAAAUGAUCCGUUUCAUUUGUGA
Cyprinus carpio (common carp) is the source of this 1538-nucleotide long non-coding RNA. RefSeq lists it as uncharacterized. Lineage: Eukaryota; Metazoa; Chordata; Actinopteri; Cypriniformes; Cyprinidae. The transcript is spliced from 4 exons. The record is from RefSeq and is a predicted model, not a curated record.